GAAAUGCGAUAAGUAAUGUGAAUUGCAGAAUUCAGUGAAUCAUCGAAUCUUUGAACGCACAUUGCGCCCGCCAGUAUUCUGGCGGGCAUGCCUGUUCGAGCGUCAUUUCAACCAUCAAGCCCCCGGCUUGUGUUGGGGACCUACGGCUGCCCGCAGGCCCUGAAAAACAGUGGCGGGCUCGCUGUCACACCGAGCGUAGUAGCAUACAUUCUCGCUCAGGGCGUGCUGCGGGUUCCGGCCGUUAAACGACCUUCAUAACCCAAGGUUGACCUCGGAUCAGGUAGGAAGACCCGCUGAACUUAAGC
Molecule: unclassified non-coding RNA, 305 nt
Filed under: plant metagenome
Description: partial contains 5.8S ribosomal RNA, internal transcribed spacer 2, and large subunit ribosomal RNA
Rfam family: 5.8S ribosomal RNA (bases 1-105)
Source: RNAcentral